GAUGAACGCUGGCGGCGUGCCUAAUACAUGCAAGUCGAGCGAACGGACGAGAAGCUUGCUUCUCUGAUGUUAGCGGCGGACGGGUGAGUAACACGUGGAUAACCUACCUAUAAGACUGGGAUAACUUCGGGAAACCGGAGCUAAUACCGGAUGAUAUAUUGAACCGCAUGGUUCAAUAGUGAAAGACGGUCUUGCUGUCACUUAUAGAUGGAUCCGCGCUGCAUUAGCUAGUUGGUAAGGUAACGGCUUACCAAGGCAACGAUGCAUAGCCGACCUGAGAGGGUGAUCGGCCACACUGGAACUGAGACACGGUCCAGACUCCUACGGGAGGCAGCAGUAGGGAAUCUUCCGCAAUGGGCGAAAGCCUGACGGAGCAACGCCGCGUGAGUGAUGAAGGUCUUCGGAUCGUAAAACUCUGUUAUUAGGGAAGAACAUAUGUGUAAGUAACUGUGCACAUCUUGACGGUACCUAAUCAGAAAGCCACGGCUAACUACGUG
Molecule: ribosomal RNA, 497 nt
Filed under: uncultured bacterium
Lineage: Bacteria
Description: partial 16S ribosomal RNA
Rfam family: Bacterial small subunit ribosomal RNA
Source: RNAcentral